UUGACCACCCCUAGCAACAAGAAUUUCGUCGCCAUGCUGAGCUAGAUCAGCUAGAAACUUGCCUCUUUUAUGUUUUACAACAGUACCUGUACGGGAAUACGCAACGUUGGGGCAGCUAAACCGUUUCUUAGUUGAGAAUGAAAAACUCCCAUUGUAUCAACAUUCCCACCACGUUUUGCAUUAAACCGAGUUUUUUUAUGAAACUCCAACAACGAAUCUUUCCCCUCGUCUGCAUAAAUUACGACAUCGCCACCAUGUCCGCCCAUAGGUAGGAUAAGUGAUCCGUCAAAAUCCCGCUUAUAAGAACUUCUUAUCCUUGCUUUUUCUUUGUCCUGUUUGCUCUGUGACUUGGAACUGGCCUUUUGAUUGUUCAUGCUAAGAGUAGCGCCAUGGCCUCCAUCUCCGGCGCGAACAGUUAUGAUUGCUUGAUCGAAAUACUUGUGAGGUUCUCGUGUUAGGCUUUCAAGGCUUGGAGAAGCGACUUCUUUGACCUUUGCAAGUCGACACUUCAAUAUAUGGUGUUGAAAAGUAUUGGGAAUGCUUUU
This 545-nucleotide long non-coding RNA is filed under the name Helianthus annuus (common sunflower). RNAcentral describes it as "hypothetical non coding rna". The record is from RNAcentral. Lineage: Eukaryota; Viridiplantae; Streptophyta; Magnoliopsida; Asterales; Asteraceae.